Molecule: ribosomal RNA, 369 nt
Filed under: uncultured bacterium
Lineage: Bacteria
Description: bacterial SSU rRNA
Rfam family: Bacterial small subunit ribosomal RNA
Source: RNAcentral
GUAGGACGCGAGCGUUAUCCGGAGUUACUGGGCGUAAAGGGUGGGCAGGCGGCCGUGUCAGAUGGGUGUGAAAUCUCCCGGCUCAACCGGGAGGGGCCACUCGUGACUGCACGGCUGGAGGGCAGCAGAGGCGCGUGGAAUUCCGGGUGGAGUGGUGAAAUGCGUAGAGAUCCGGAGGAACACCAGAGGCGAAGGCGGCGCGCUGGGCUGCAACUGACGCUGAACCACGAAAGCCAGGGUAGCGAACGGGAUUAGAAACCCCGGUAGUCCUGGCCGUAAACGAUGUCAACUGGGCCUUGGUAUGGAAGCAUAUCAGGGCCGGAGCGAACGCGCUAAGUUGACCGCCUGGGGAGUACGACCGCAAGGUUA